RNAcentral lists this ribosomal RNA (441 nucleotides) under uncultured bacterium. RNAcentral describes it as "partial 16S ribosomal RNA". It matches the Rfam family "Bacterial small subunit ribosomal RNA", at positions 339 to 795 of the family's 1533-position model. The record is from RNAcentral.
CUACGGGGGGCUGCAGUGGGGAUUAUUGUACAAUGGGCGAAAGCCUGAUGCAGCAACGCCGCGUGCGCGAUGAAGGCCUUCGGGUUGUAAAGCGCUUUUCUGAGGGAAGAGGAAGGACGGUAGCUCAGGAAUAAGUCUCGGCUAACUACGUGCCAGCAGCCGCGGUAAAACGUAGGAGGCGAGCGUUAUGCCGGAUUUACUGGGCGUAAAGCGCGUGUAGGCGGUUUGGUAAGUCGGACGUUAAAGCUCCUGGCUCAACUGGGAGAUGCCGUUCGAAACUGCCAGACUAGAGGGCAGUAGAGGGAGGUGGAAUUCCGGGUGUAGCGGUGAAAUGCGUAGAUAUCCGGAGGAACACCAGUGGCGAAGGCGGCCUCCUGGGCUGUCCCUGACGCUCAGACGCGAAAGCUAGGGUAGCGAACGGGAUUAGAUACCCGAGUAGUC